GAAAUGGAGGUUUUAUUCUAUUUUUAACGACCCUGUCUGGAGAAUUCGUAUAAACUCGGACAUUUCUCCCUCCAGUGCCCACUUUCCGUAGCUGUCUGAGCAAGGGAGAUGUCUCUGGGGCUAUGAAGAUACGGAUGCCUGUGAUGACGUCACUCACGGAUGCCUCUGUUGGGUGACGCCUCCGAACACUAAACUUCUUCUAGUUCCACUUGGUGUGUGGCUGUUAUUAGUGGCACUCUUCCGAGUCACAGCAAA
Molecule: unclassified non-coding RNA, 255 nt
Organism: Mesocricetus auratus (golden hamster)
Lineage: Eukaryota; Metazoa; Chordata; Mammalia; Rodentia; Cricetidae
Product: predicted gene, 27698
Source: Ensembl